Molecule: ribosomal RNA, 361 nt
Filed under: uncultured bacterium
Lineage: Bacteria
Description: partial 16S ribosomal RNA
Rfam family: Bacterial small subunit ribosomal RNA
Source: RNAcentral
CCUACGGUGUGCAGCAGUGAGGAAUCUUGGUCAAUGGGCGGAAGCCUGAACCAGCCAAGUCGCGUGAGGGACUAAGGCCCUACGGGUCGUAAACCUCUGUUGCCGGGGAUCAGUGCCCAGCUCGCGAGCUGGGAGGGAGCGUACCCGGAGAAAAAGCAUCGGCUAACUCCGUGCCAGCAGCCGCGGUAAUACGGAGGAUGCGAGCGUUAUCGGGAUUUAUUGGGUUGAAAGGGGGCGUAGGCGGGCCUUCAGGCCGGCGGUAAAAUUGCGGGGCUCAACCCCGCCGAGCCGUCGGAACCGGGAGCAUUGAGUACCGGAGAAGUACGCGGAAGGCGUGGUGUAGAGGUGAAAUGCAUAGAUA